GAUGAACGCUGGCGGCGUGCCUAAUACAUGCAAGUCGAGCGAACAGACGAGGAGCUUGCUCCUCUGACGUUAGCGGCGGACGGGUGAGUAACACGUGGAUAACCUACCUAUAAGACUGGGAUAACUUCGGGAAACCGGAGCUAAUACCGGAUAAUAUAUUGAACCGCAUGGUUCAAUAGUGAAAGACGGUUUUGCUGUCACUUAUAGAUGGAUCCGCGCCGCAUUAGCUAGUUGGUAAGGUAACGGCUUACCAAGGCAACGAUGCGUAGCCGACCUGAGAGGGUGAUCGGCCACACUGGAACAGAGACACGGUCCAGACUCCUACGGGAGGCAGCAGUAGGGAAUCUUCCGCAAUGGGCGAAAGCCUGACGGAGCAACGCCGCGUGAGUGAUGAAGGUCUUCGGAUCGUAAAACUCUGUUAUUAGGGAAGAACAAAUGUGUAAGUAACUAUGCACGUCUUGACGGUACCUAAUCAGAAAGCCACGACUAACUACGUG
RNAcentral lists this ribosomal RNA (497 nucleotides) under uncultured bacterium. Its description in RNAcentral is "partial 16S ribosomal RNA". It matches the Rfam family "Bacterial small subunit ribosomal RNA", at positions 28 to 507 of the family's 1533-position model. The record is from RNAcentral.